GCAAACUUGGUCAUUUAGAGGAAGUAAAAGUCGUAACAAGGUUUCCGUAGGUGAACCUGCGGAAGGAUCAUUAAUGAAUGAGGCCCUCCGGCCUCGAUCCCGUGCGUCUCCCGCUGUGCGCCCUGCUGCACGUGGGGGGAACAUGUGAUUCUCACACCUGUGCACCUCUGGAAACGGGAACUCGCUUCCCGAGUCUUGAUCACACACAAUUUGUAGUCUGGGAAGUCAUACUUAAUGAAAAAUACAACUUUCAACAACGGAUCUCUUGGCUCUCGCAUCGAUGAAGAACGCAGC
RNAcentral lists this unclassified non-coding RNA (294 nucleotides) under uncultured fungus. RNAcentral describes it as "partial contains small subunit ribosomal RNA, internal transcribed spacer 1, and 5.8S ribosomal RNA". The stretch from base 1 to 73 matches the Rfam family "Eukaryotic small subunit ribosomal RNA", at positions 1759 to 1831 of the family's 1831-position model. Lineage: Eukaryota; Fungi. The record is from RNAcentral.